Molecule: ribosomal RNA, 227 nt
Filed under: uncultured bacterium
Lineage: Bacteria
Description: partial 16S ribosomal RNA
Rfam family: Bacterial small subunit ribosomal RNA
Source: RNAcentral
AACCUACCCUUCAGAGGGGGACAACAGUUGGAAACGACUGCUAAUACCGCAUACGAUCUAACCUCGGCAUCGAGGAUGGAUGAAAGGUGGCCUCUAUUUAUAAGCUAUCACUGAAGGAGGGGAUUGCGUCUGAUUAGCUAGUUGGAGGGGUAACGGCCCACCAAGGCGAUGAUCAGUAGCCGGUCUGAGAGGAUGAACGGCCACAUUGGGACUGAGACACGGCCCAG